GGAUGCUGCGAUGGAGACAGGAUGAAACUGACGGGGUGUUUUUCGGAGGAAAGUGCCUCUGGGGUGUCGUUACCUGGCGGCUUUCCAGGGUGUCUCGUUACCAGAAGCGUAUAUUUGAGGAACAAGAAGGAGUGUAUUACCAUUUUGUCGAUGCCUGAGGAUUAUGGACCAUUACAGUAACGACCGGCAGUGUAACGGUUUGGAUAACUGCCUGUGUACUCUUUCUUCCUCUUCGUGUCCUUCUCUUUAUCAACUAGGCGAAAGCCAGCACAUUUUCAUUGCAUUCGUGUUGGACGUUUUCUCACAAAAUGUUGAAUUUAGCGCUCUCUCGACGUGAAGGAUAUUCGUGGCACGCCGUUUUUUUGUGUUGGACAUGAAGGUGUGAGGGGCAGUAACCUGUGGACGGGCGCCGUUUCGCAGACAGUAUGAUACAAUAUUUUGACAUAACCUUUAUUUUUUUUGUGUUACGCUCUAUUGCGCAUGCCUAGCGGUAGGCUAUAUACAGAACGCUGCCCGACACCACUUCGCUCUGUCCUGGCCGUGAUGUAGGAGCAAAAGUGAAGGGAGCAGCGGAGGACUAAAUAAAAAUGCGUUGGCAAAGUGGCAGCGUGGCAACCAAAGGAUUUUACUUUAGAUCCUUCACAAAAUAAAUUGUGCCAUAAACUGAAGGAUGUCAGGGUCACCUAAUGCAGAGGCUGAAGGAGUAGUCUCCAAAGUAAAAGUGAAAAAGGAGAUCAAGACAAUCGUGGAGAAUUUGGAAACCAUCCUGGGAGACCUCAAGGAUGUGGCCAAAGAGCUGAAAGAGGUUGUUCAUGACAUUGACACCCUGACUUGUGACCUGCAGCUGGAGGAAGAUGGACUGACAGACAGCUCGAAGACAGACACGCUCAACUCCAGUUCAAGUUCCACCACUACCACUACCACAGCUUCCAGCCUGGAGAAGAUGAAGCUCUUUCCUGAUGACUGCAUGUUCAGACCACCUGCGCUCAUCGACCCGGUCCCUGUCAACCCUCUUGCACUCCUGACUGUACUCAAGAAACCCCGUCCUCCCCUACCGCCACCCAGACUUACCCCUCUGAGAGCCGAGGAUCACAACAUUAAGAAUCUGCCUCAUCCGACAUUAGUGUUAUCAGGGAAUGUAUCCAAGGCUACCCCGUCUCUAAUGAGGAAUGGCGGGGGUUUUCCAUUGAAACCAAACAGGGAUUUAUUCUCCUCCACGCCGUGUUUCAUUUCUAAUGACAGUGGAGUCCCUGAGUCGGGUCUUGUUCCCACAUUACCCAGGCCCAUGCCCCUUCUCCACCAUGAAAAGAACAAAUGCCCAAAAGCCACUGGCAGGGAGUCUCGUGAGAGGGAGCGUGUGCGUUUCAGUGAGAAGGUCCAGUACCACGGCUACUGCCCAGACUGUGACCUCCAAUAUGAUGUGGAUGACACAGAACUACACCUACAGGCUGAGCUGAACGACCUGCGGCUCAGCCCAGUGCAUUGCUGCUCUUCCAUCUCCCCUCCUCCUCCUCAUGCUCUUCCACAUGAACUAAUGUUGGAAAAUGGCAGCCUCUCGGUCAGCCACAGUUUCCAGCCGAAAGCAAACACACCCCCACCUUGUGUGCCUCCUCACCCCCCUUCCCAUAAGCCCCAAAAAACAAUCCUACGCAAAUCAACCACUACCACGGUUUGACGCUGAACCCCCUUGUUGUGUCUAACUUAAACGUUCUUGAAUCAUUCAUAGUGUUUUCUACUUUAUGAGCGCUUUCUACUCCAAUUAAACUUUGGAUUAUCCAAACAGAAAAAGGAAGAGUUGGGAAAAGGAUGGAUCAAGUAAGUGGAACAGAAAGGAAUGCAUCGCCAUAGGCGCUGAGACGUACACAGAGAGAUCAGGGAGAAGCGGGCCAUACGAGUGGAAGGGAUGCUUGUUUCAUACCCUGGUUGAUCAGGGGGCGGGAGGAGCCAGAGCUGAGGCCAAGCAUCAACCUUUUUUUUCUUUUUUUCAUAUAUCACUAAUGGCUCUCAAUCACAAGGAGAUCAUCUAGACAAAUUCAUACUUUUACUUUUGAGCACUGAACAACCUCCAGGCACAGUUGUUCCAGGGCAAAAUGCUGCUGUGAAACUGGGGAAAUAGGGAGAGCAGUCACUUUAUGUACAUGUAAGCGUAUACAGAUCGAUGGAUUCAUAGUUGUGGAGGUGAUAUUUUUCGUACAUAGAAAUAGUUGAAUUAAAGAUUAGAAUGCUGCUGAAACCCUAUCAUCAAAAGUAAAGAGGCAAGUUUAGAUGAAGAGGUACAACAUGGGGUCAAAUGAUGCCAGUAUUUGAUUGAUGUCUACACAGACUUUUGCUGUGUGCAUACUCAGAUGGAAAUCAAUAGCUCCACUCAACCGAUGGAAUUUGCUUUUAAGAAUUGUAAUUGUUUGUGUCUGGAGAGCCCGACAAGUCUGCCUGUGAGCAAAACACUGCUGGACUGCAGAUAAGGACAACAUAUUAUUUUGUCAGCAUGUGACAUAUGCUCAAUCAUAGACAGGUUUGGAAAGGGCGGAAAUGAAUGAAGAUGUGGUCACUGCUCUGUGUCCAGACAUUAUCUAUUGUCCAUUGUACAUCAUAAUCUAUGUGCUCAACUUGUGCCAUGACAAAAUAAGAGAUACAGUAUAGUGCCAUAGUUACAGCUUUAAAGGAACCUUGAAGAAGUAAUAAUUUGCAUCAAAUUUUCUUUGUAUACAAAAAUACAUGUACAUAUUUGAUAUCUAUAUAUUUCAGGCAUUUUUCUACUGAGACUUUAACAUUUAAAGAGAUAAUAUUUUUGAUAUUGUGUUGGAUGACUGAAGGUACUUUGAUGAAAGCUGACAUUCCCCCGAAGUACGUGUUUUUCAGCAGGGCAUAGCAGGAUGAGUUAUUUAUAUAUAGCAACGGGAUGGUGUUUGUAUGGAUGAAAAAACAAGUGCUUCAUUAAUAUCACUUCAAGAAACUUUACAGAAGGGGCUGUAUUGUGAGAAAGGUGGAGAAGAUUAAUGGCGUUAACCAAAUACCUAGUUGUGCUUUAUCAGACAGGAGGCAUGGGGCUGAAUGAAUGAAAGCAUGACUGACUCUUCACUUUGUCCUGCCAUCACUGUGUUUUUCUAUGCAUUUCUGUGGAGAGGCUGUCUGUUGGUGGGUCCAACAUGCAGGGUGCUCUGCUCUCCAUAACACAGAGUUAAGAAGUAGUCUUUCACAUUUACUCAUAUGAUGUCCAUCAGGUUAUUUCUGCAGCCACUAUAAACCUGACAAAUGUCCUGUUUAUCACAUUUCUUAGGCCAAUGACAUACUUAAUAAUUAAAUAAUAAUAAAAGUGUAUUCAUAUAGCCAGAAGAUUAUGAAAUACAAACUGAAAAAUAAAGAGAAUAAAAGGGAAGAAUAGGAAACUCAUUUUCAUAGGCCAUUUUUGAAUAAUACAAUUGUGGGAAACACUGGAGAGCAACAACACAGCCUCUCUCCAUAUUCAGACUGGAGGCACCACAAAUAAACUCCACCUCUUUGUUCUCACUGGACACAGAGACUGAAUUCAUGAUCAAACUCUGGAUCAAUCAAGAAUCAUUUUUAAAGAUGAUUGGAACGUCUCAAAAAGCUGUCGGUGAUAUUUUGUUGCGUGUCCACAAACUGUUGGAAAA
Molecule: RNA transcript, 3632 nt
Organism: Perca flavescens (yellow perch)
Lineage: Eukaryota; Metazoa; Chordata; Actinopteri; Perciformes; Percidae
Gene: prr16
Gene name: proline rich 16
Exons: 3
Source: RefSeq, a predicted model, not a curated record